This is a long non-coding RNA of Daphnia pulicaria, 609 nucleotides long. RefSeq lists it as uncharacterized. Lineage: Eukaryota; Metazoa; Arthropoda; Branchiopoda; Diplostraca; Daphniidae. The transcript has 3 exons. The record is from RefSeq and is a predicted model, not a curated record.
ACUAAGGACAAGUUCCAUUCGGGUAAAAAUAGGAAAUUAAAACUAAAGAGGACGGGCGAAUCUUGUUUGUUCGCUCGUGAGCUUUGUUCAGUAAGCAUACGGAAUUUCAACAAUCACUAGUAUCACAUUUAUGGAGUUUGGAAUGGAAAUAAUCAGUGGUGUUGCUAAUCAAAUCCAAAGCGCAGAAUAAAGAAAGGCUACUCAGGCAGUGAAGGGCCUUUGAUUUUAAAAAAAAUGCAGUUUCGCUUUUAAAUUAAAAUUAAUGUAGGAAAGAAUAAUAAAGAGGACGAAUCUUGUUCGUUUGCCCGUAGCUUUCGGACACUAAUUAAUAAGCAAUCAACAGAAAUAUAGCUUGGGAAAAAACGUUGGGAAUCUACCCAACAUCAGGUAAUAAGAAAACCGAUACGCUACAAUAGAGAAAUAAUCAAUAAGAAGAAUAAAGUGACACUAGGUAAGUAGCCAUGGGUAUAUAGCUACCACUGCCGCGUUUUUAGGCUGCCGCCUUCUCUAUAGACCUCGGAUAUCCAAUUUACGCUUGACUAACUAGAACACCGAAACCACCACUUAUGUGACACAGACCAGCGUGAGCUCGACUGUGCAUAACGUUCU